This 1252-nucleotide long non-coding RNA is filed under the name Homo sapiens (human). RNAcentral's name for it is "HSALNT0095722". The record is from RNAcentral. Lineage: Eukaryota; Metazoa; Chordata; Mammalia; Primates; Hominidae.
CAUAUGACUUUUUUCCCCUUCCAUCUCCUUACCUUCUUCUCUCUGCCUUCCUCCUUUGGAGCACGCUGUAAUAGAGAAAAGAUUUUCUAGGCUCAUCAUCCAUUUAUAGAACCACUACUCCCCAUCUUUCAUUUAGUUUGUGCAUCACUGACUUUACCCAAUGGCUUCCAGGCUCUGCAAAGCCCGGCAUGACCAAUGAGACACUCCAUUUUACUGGUUACAGUUGUUAAAAAUACAAUGGCAAGUUUUGCAGGAGCCUACUGUCAAAGAGGGACUCUCUGGGUGGGGAGGGGUGGCCGCUAAACUGGGAAGAGCCUGCCUGUGAAAAAAUGGAUGUCAAUACAUGGUGAGUGGUUUCCAGAAAUUUACUUCAUCUGCAACUAAAAGCAAGGGGGGAAGGCAGCAUGAACCACACUGGCACACUGCCAGCUCAGCACUCUCCACCAGGAACUCAGCCCCAUGCCAAGCCACUCCUGGAAGACAAGGCAAGAGAGCGAGGGCACAUUUUUUAAGGACACAUUUUAAAACAAGAAUUACACUGUCACAGCACCUACCUUCUCUCUCUUUCAAAAUUCUAGCUCAAAGAAUUAACCUCUCACAUUAGGGGAAAUAGAUAAUGAUUCAGUCAAAGGUGGGAUGAUUUGGGAAUGAACAAGAGAAGUGUCCUACUGGCAGGAAGAAAUAAAUGACUCAGAGUGAAGAAGGAGGAGGGGGAAAAACUCUUUUAAGCCACAAAGAUACCAUUUUUUGCACCAGAGGAGGUCACUGAAUAAAUCAAAGGAGAGAAAUGGAUCUUGGGAGGUCACAUGGAUAAUAGUCCUGCCUUUGGGGAGGACACCCUGCUGCCAGAAAAAUGAUUCAAGGGAAUUCUUGCUGCAGCAAGGGGUUGGGUUACUCAUGUUAAACAGUGCCCGAGAGUGUGUGCUUUAUGAAGUUGACCAGAUGUCCUGUUUGGUUAGGACUCUCCAGGUUUCUUAAUGGCUUUGAAGAGUGUCCUGGGAGUCACCCGGAGCAGGCAGGCUUGGUUCUAGGUCCCCCAUUGACACAUUGUAAAGGGCUUUGGGUUACUUUGUGUGUUACCACUUUGCAAUUGUUCAGGUCACCAAAUAAAUCAGAGAAUUUGCUAGCCUGGCAAAGCAUUGGCUAAUAACAGGUCACAGUUGUUCUGAAAAGAGACCUGAGACCAGAGACCUGCCUGAGCUCGAAAGCUUGCCUGCAGCCAAGGACUGAUGUGGGGUGUGAAUGUCCAGCC